Molecule: ribosomal RNA, 285 nt
Filed under: Triticum aestivum (bread wheat)
Lineage: Eukaryota; Viridiplantae; Streptophyta; Magnoliopsida; Poales; Poaceae
Description: partial small subunit ribosomal RNA
Source: RNAcentral
CUGACGGAAACACACGGUUUGCAGAAGCACCCUUACUUGACUCAGAUCUAUGAGACAAGAGAAAAAUGGGCAAAACCAUACUUCAAUGGCAAAUUCUGUGCAAAAAUGACCAGCACACAACGCAGCGUGAGUGCAAACCAUAUGAUCAAAACCUAUGUUCCAGCAAGCUGCCCCAUGCACCUAUUCGUGCGGCAAUAUAUGAGGCUUCUUUUCGAUAGAGAAGCAGCUAAGAACUACGAGGAAAGGCACACUAUGAUAGUAAGUUUUCAUUUUAAAUUUUCAUAA